Molecule: ribosomal RNA, 253 nt
Filed under: uncultured Legionella sp.
Lineage: Bacteria; Pseudomonadati; Pseudomonadota; Gammaproteobacteria; Legionellales; Legionellaceae
Description: partial 16S ribosomal RNA
Rfam family: Bacterial small subunit ribosomal RNA
Source: RNAcentral
UACGGAGGGUGCGAGCGUUAAUCGGAAUUACUGGGCGUAAAGGGUGCGUAGGUGGUUUUAUAAGUUAACUGUGAAAUUCCUGGGCUUAACCUGGGGUGGUCAGUUAAUACUGUGAGACUUGAGUAUAGGAGAGGGUAGUGGAAUUUCCGGUGUAGCGGUGAAAUGCGUAGAGAUCGGAAGGAACACCGGUGGCGAAGGCGGCUACCUGGCCUGAUACUGACACUGAGGCACGAAAGCGUGGGGAGCAAACAGG